Molecule: ribosomal RNA, 486 nt
Filed under: Fusarium incarnatum
Lineage: Eukaryota; Fungi; Ascomycota; Sordariomycetes; Hypocreales; Nectriaceae
Description: eukaryotic LSU rRNA
Rfam family: 5.8S ribosomal RNA (bases 119-272)
Source: RNAcentral
CAUACCUAUACGUUGCCUCGGCGGAUCAGCCCGCGCCCUGUAAAAAGGGACGGCCCGCCCGAGGACCCUAAACUCUGUUUUUAGUGGAACUUCUGAGUAAAACAAACAAAUAAAUCAAAACUUUCAACAACGGAUCUCUUGGUUCUGGCAUCGAUGAAGAACGCAGCAAAAUGCGAUAAGUAAUGUGAAUUGCAGAAUUCAGUGAAUCAUCGAAUCUUUGAACGCACAUUGCGCCCGCCAGUAUUCUGGCGGGCAUGCCUGUUCGAGCGUCAUUUCAACCCUCAAGCUCAGCUUGGUGUUGGGACUCGCGGUAACCCGCGUUCCCCAAAUCGAUUGGCGGUCACGUCGAGCUUCCAUAGCGUAGUAAUCAUACACCUCGUUACUGGUAAUCGUCGCGGCCACGCCGUAAAACCCCAACUUCUGAAUGUUGACCUCGGAUCAGGUAGGAAUACCCGCUGAACUUAAGCAUAUCAAUAAGCGGAGGAA